GACGAACGCUGGCGGCGUGCUUAACACAUGCAAGUCGAACGAUGAUGCUGGAGCUUGCUCCAGUUGAUUAGUGGCGAACGGGUGAGUAACACGUGAGCAAUCUGCCCUUGACUCUGGGAUAACUGCGGGAAACUGUAGCUAAUACCGGAUACUUUCACCGGAAGGCAUCUUCUGGUGAUGAAAGAAUUUCGGUCAGGGAUGAGCUCGCGGCCUAUAAGCUUGUUGGUGAGGUAACGGCUCACCAAGGCGACGACGGGUAACCGGCCUGAGAGGGUGACCUGUCACACUGGGACUGAGACACGGCCCAGACUCCUACGGGAGGCAGCAGUGGGGAAUAUUGCACAAUGGGCGCAAGCCUGAUGCAGCAACGCCGCGUGAGGGAUGAAGGCCUUCGGGUUGUAAACCUCUUUUAGCAGGGAAGAAGCGAAAGUGACGGUACCUGCAGAAAAAGCACCGGCUAACUACGUGCCAGCCGCCGCAGUAA
RNAcentral lists this ribosomal RNA (484 nucleotides) under uncultured bacterium. RNAcentral describes it as "partial 16S ribosomal RNA". It matches the Rfam family "Bacterial small subunit ribosomal RNA", at positions 28 to 523 of the family's 1533-position model. The record is from RNAcentral.